CAGGAAGCCUCCAGCAUGCUUGGGACCGCUGUGACCCUGUGCAUUCCCACAGUGCUUGCCAGAACAGUUUUGAAACGGUUUGAGGCCUUGCCCUGCUCCAUCCAGUGUAAGGUUAUAGAACUUUCAGACAAUU
Lepus europaeus (European hare) is the source of this 133-nucleotide small nucleolar RNA. RefSeq annotates it as small nucleolar RNA SNORA9. The record is from RefSeq and is a predicted model, not a curated record. NCBI's taxonomy places the organism in Eukaryota, Metazoa, Chordata, Mammalia, Lagomorpha, Leporidae. The transcript has a single exon.